UGGGGAAUCUUGCACAAUGGGGGCAACCCUGAUGCAGCGACGCCGCGUGAGCGAUGAAGCCCUUCGGGGCGUAAAGCUCUUUCGACCGGAACGAUAAUGACGGUACCGGGAGAAGAAGCUGCGGCUAACUACGUGCCAGCAGCCGCGGUAAUACGUAGGCAGCAAGCGUUGUUCGGAGUUACUGGGCGUAAAGAGUGCGUAGGCGGUUUUCUAAGUUCGGUGUGAAAUCUCCCGGCUUAACUGGGAGGGUGCGCCGAAGACUGGGAAGCUGGAGUGUGGGAAAGGCAGGCGGAAUUCCUGGUGUAGCGGUGAAAUGCGUAGAUAUCAGGAGGAACACCGGCGGUGUAGACGGGUUGCUAGACCAUAACUGACGCUGAGGCACGAAAGCGUGGGUAGCAAACA
This 402-nucleotide ribosomal RNA is filed under the name uncultured bacterium. RNAcentral describes it as "bacterial SSU rRNA". It matches the Rfam family "Bacterial small subunit ribosomal RNA", at positions 355 to 774 of the family's 1533-position model. The record is from RNAcentral.